UCCGAAGGUCCCAAUCGUUGCUCGGAAUUAUUGGGCGUAAAGCGAGCGCAGGUGGCUUUGUAAGUCAGGAGUGAAAUCCCAGGGCUUAACCCUGGAAGUGCUUUUGAUACUGCGAAGCUUGAGUGUGGGAGAGGAUGCUAGAAUUCCUGGUGUAGUGGUGAAAUACGUAGAUAUCAGGAGGAACACCGGUGGCGAAGGCGGGCAUCUGGCCCAACACUGACACUUAGGCUCGAAAGCGUGGGGAUAAAACAGG
RNAcentral lists this ribosomal RNA (253 nucleotides) under uncultured bacterium. RNAcentral describes it as "partial 16S ribosomal RNA". It matches the Rfam family "Bacterial small subunit ribosomal RNA", at positions 524 to 776 of the family's 1533-position model. The record is from RNAcentral.